This 250-nucleotide long non-coding RNA is filed under the name Lathyrus oleraceus (garden pea). RNAcentral describes it as "Pisum sativum (pea) long non-coding RNA (PSAT_LNC019159)". The record is from RNAcentral. Lineage: Eukaryota; Viridiplantae; Streptophyta; Magnoliopsida; Fabales; Fabaceae.
AAGCUCUUAACCACUAACAUUGAGAGUUAGGGUGAAGCUGAUGAAAGGUAAUGAGGAUUAGACCUCACGCUCUUAACCCUGGCCUGGGUGAGCUUGAAUCAAAGAAUGUGUGGGGAUCCAUAAUGAGGGACCCUAUUCCACUUUACUGACUCUAUACAAAGAUCUUGGGUUGUGUUCAAGAGCAUCAACACGUAGUGCGAGCAUAAUGAACGACUCAACGAUUAACAGGGGAUUGAUUGCUAAUCCCUUC